GGAAGACAAAGCUCAGUUAGGAAGAGUGUAGUUGGUUCCUGAAGUAGGUCUGAGAGAGCUGCGUGGAUGUCAGAAGGUUACUUCUGAAAGAGAAUGGGGGAGCUGUGGGAGUGCAGCGGGGACAAAAGGUUCAAACAUGAAGCAGGGAACUAAAUGGGAGCUGCGAAAGGGAUGAGUUAUAGAGAAGAGUGUAUCACUGCAAGAGCUGGAGUGGUAGUUAAUCUGUGGAAGCAGAUGAGGGCAAAAACCUGCGAUGCCAGGCCAAAACAGGAGGGACAUGUCAGGCUUGUCGCCCCUUCAUCUUGCUGCUGACAGAGAGAGAAUAAAGGCACCAUGGGCUUCCUCAAUCUUGAUUUGAUUAUACAUUAAAUACAAUUAAAAAAAUAUAAAAUGCCCUACUCUGCAACUUACAACCCCUGUAUAUUUUUUACCAUCAUAAAAUUACUCUGU
Long non-coding RNA from Alligator sinensis (Chinese alligator), 450 nucleotides. RefSeq lists it as uncharacterized. NCBI's taxonomy places the organism in Eukaryota, Metazoa, Chordata, Crocodylia, Alligatoridae. The transcript has 3 exons. The record is from RefSeq and is a predicted model, not a curated record.